This 46-nucleotide small RNA is filed under the name Acidobacteriia bacterium SbA2. Its description in RNAcentral is "Solibacteres bacterium SbA2 Acido-Lenti-1". It matches the Rfam family "Acido-Lenti-1 RNA". The record is from RNAcentral. Lineage: Bacteria; Pseudomonadati; Acidobacteriota; Terriglobia.
CCCACGGCUUACGCCAUGGGCUACUCUCUAUCGGCCCUCCGGGCCU